Molecule: long non-coding RNA, 550 nt
Filed under: Lynx pardinus (Iberian lynx)
Lineage: Eukaryota; Metazoa; Chordata; Mammalia; Carnivora; Felidae
Source: RNAcentral
CUUCUUCCUUGCCCUCUCCUUCAACAGAAUCCACACCAACGUCCUCAUAAUCCUUCGCAAGGGCAGCCAUGUCUCACAGGCCUCAGAAAACUCUCCUUCCUCCAUGCCCUCACCCACAUACCAGUGAACGAAGGCACGCUUGGCAUAUAUCAGGUCAAACUUGUGGUCCAUGAGAGCCCAGACCUCAGAAAUGGCUGUGGUGUUGCUCAGCAACGCGCACAGCUCACUGUACUGUGGCAAGGUCUCCACCAGGUACCACAGUGGGAGGCUGGUAAUUAAUGCCAACACUGAAGCCAGUGGGGCACCAGUCCACAAACUGGAGGGUACACUUGGUCUUGAUGGUGGCAAUGCUAGCAUUGACAUAUUUAGGAACCACAUCACCACAGUACAACAGGGAGCAAACCAAGUAUUUACCAUGGUGAGGGUCAUACUUCACCAUCCGGUUGGCUGGCUCAAAGAAUGCAUUGAUGAUCUCUAUUACAGAAAAUUGUUCAUGGUAGGCUUUCUCAGCAGAGAUAGUAGGGCAUAUGUGGCCAGAGGAAACUGGAUG